AUGCAUUUUCUCAACAUGUGUGAUACUAGCUUCUACUUGUCAGUUUUUGUGUUGAACAAAAGAGAAAUUCAUGCCCUGUCAAUUGAACUAUGUAUGGUUCUGAUUAUAAUUGUGGCUAAUUAUUAUGAGAAAGGAAAUAUUGUCACUGUUACUUCAAUAUGUAUUGCUUGCUACCUUUGUAUUGUUGCCUUCUACACUGGUGUAGAUUAG
Vicia faba (fava bean) is the source of this 210-nucleotide non-coding RNA. The record is from the annotation of a GenBank genome assembly. Lineage: Eukaryota; Viridiplantae; Streptophyta; Magnoliopsida; Fabales; Fabaceae.